AUCCUUUUGCUGUUUUUGCUUCCGAAUGGAAGCCUGAUUUGAUCGACUUUUCGAUUCACUCAUUUCAAUUGCAAAUAGCAAUUUAUCUAGAAUGUUAUGAAACGUGAAACAAACGAUGUUUUUUAUAUGUCUGUGUGUAUGGACUGUAGGAUGGCCCAUUUUUUCGGAUCUCCUAAUGUUUAAGAGCCUAUCCCGAAAAAUGAUUCUUCCAUUAAUAGACUACCCAAGAAAAUUAUCCAAAAAAAAUUUAAACAAAUUGUAGUGGUUGCGCGAAGCGUUUUAAGUUCAAGUAAAAUGUGUGACCUACUGGCAGUUAAGGGUUAUAAAAAUUAAGCAGAAGUUAAAUACCCUCAACGACGGUCCCGUGUCAGGUAGUAGGAAUGACCGCGGGUGGUGCUUCGGGUGUCGUCCAGGUAGUACCUAAGGGGCUUUCUUCCGACAUUUACGAAACAUCAAAAAUCAAUUUAGAAUUAAGCUAUUUUUACGAUUCAAAUUUUGUUGAAAUUUCUGUAAAUUGAUUAAAUGAACAAUGUUUAUUUUCUAAUUAAGAUAUAAAUAAUUGAGAGAUCUUCAUAUUCGAAAUGAAAUUAUAUGCCAUAACCAGCUUAACGUACUAAGGGUUUAGUUCCUUUUCAGGAAAGGUCAGUCCGGCAGGCCAAAUUUUUUUGCCUGGUUUCCAUUUCACUGUAUACGACCGUCAUAAAAGCACCGGAUGAGUCAGACACCUGUCUCUACACGAAAAUUUGACAAUUUUCUUUCCUGUUUUUCACCACAUUGCAUUUGCAAAAAAAAAAAUUUCUUCCCUCUAAAUGAUAGUCAGAUAGUUCAAUGAUCAUCUAACCGAAUCGAGAAGAAUAUCGAAAACUCCCGAAGCGUCGUAGACACCACCGAAAAUCCCUAAAUUGAACAGAAAUUACGAUUUUUAUUUUAAUAACAAAUCGUUUUUUUGUUGGGAGAAAAAUCUUAUCUUACUCUUAGCCUUUCUGCCGGAAAGUGUACGAUAGUUCAUAACGAAAGGUCGAGUCAUUGUAUUUAAAAAAAAUUAUUAUUGCAUUUGGUCUGUCCGUCACGUGUAAAUGUCCAUAAGAAAUUAAACCAGUUGGCGCAACCUCUAAAAAUGUUUUUAAAAAUCCGAAAAAAUUCACAUAUGAUCCUGAUAUUUUUAGCUAUGUGUACCACGAAUAGGCAGGGUGAAAUUCGAUUUCCUUCACUUAUGGGCCGUCCUAUUACGCAAUCAUUCCAUGAAAAAUUGGAAUAAGUUGACAUUUGAUAUAUUUGAUAUUAUGAUACUUUUUAUGGUAUUAAAGGAUCAUAUGGCGAGUGGGCACCAUCGAUGAGGUAAAAGAAUUGAAGAAUUAAUUUUUUUGUUAGAGUUCAUGUGUUUGUUUUACUCUGACAUCCGAUGACCUGUAAAAACGUGGGAAAGGAAUUUAACGUUUCAUGUGACAAUAGCCCGAAUGAUAUUAAAGAUUGACAUUUUCAAUGGGCGCAAUCGGUUGAGUGGUUUUGGAGAUAUUGAAUGUUUCGCACGAAACCUUUUGUUUCACACUGAUAAAUAAUUGCUUUCGAACACUUUGUAAAAUAAAAAUGUUUGUUGUAACUGUUGGAUUUUUCAUGAAAUGAAUAAAGAGCAAAAGUCAAUCUUAUUCUCUUCUGAUUGUUGAAAGACAUUUUUAUGGGUUGGAAUUGUGAGAAGUGUGAGGUAUGAUGUUGAGGUUUGAUUUUAAGUAUGUAGACAAAGUGGAAUGAAUAGGACUCUUUGAGAGCACGUGACUAAAAGGUCUAGGGUGUUGUUUCCCUUUGUAGAUCUAGUUAGUUCCUCCAAGAAAUCGGUAUAGACCGGAUGUGUCUUCCAAGCACAAUCAUUUGAGUUCAAUAAUCCUAUUAUAAAAAGGAGACCCGUGUACAGAUCGAUAUCGAUAUUUCUCGAAGAAAUAUCUCGAAAAUGCGUAAGCGUAAGACAGAAACCGAAGCGACAUCUGUCGAUUAUAUUAGUCGCACAUUGGGCUGGAACAAAUGAACCGGUAAAAACCAUCACAUUUGGCAACGUGUUUGAGUGUUUUUAUCCUAUUAUAAAAAGGAGAUAAUUUAUAAUCGUGAAACAUCAUGACAUCUCCACCUAUUAAAUAUACGACCAACAGAGCCAUUGAUCAUUUCAAUGUUGCAGCUACACUCAUGAAAAUCAUCGGCUACGUCGACAGCAUUGAAGACCUGAGAGAGUUGCCAAAGUCUCCAUCUAAGUGGAUUUACAAGUGCAUUUUAAAUAACAAUGAUGGCAGAAGGGUUCGCAUACUUUGCUCGGGGGAUGAUGCUCUCAAAUACAAGGAUGAGAUCAAGAUGUAUCAGAUAAUAAAAAUCACUGGAGGGAUUAUUAAAGCGGCCAAUCCACAGUAUCGGCGAUCAACGGACACUGUGAGCGACAAAGAAUUUCAAUUUGCACGUAGGAGCACUUUCGACAUCUUUGGCACAUUUAACAUUACGAAUGGAGCUGACAAUGGAAGGUCGAAGGUCAUCUCAUAUAAAAAAUUGAGAUGGAGAACGUUUGUGCUGCUCGCGGGCCAGUCCAGAUCACUGGAUGGCUCAAAGAGCCAUUCAGAAGCAUUACCACGUCCUGACUGAGGAUGUAGCCCUCAAUGAAGAUGAGUUGGAUGAUGCUGUCGAAGCACCUCCUCUCAUUCUCAAACGAGGGGCAGCUGAAUCUGCAUCUGGAGAGGCGAUGGACGUCGCGAAUAAGAAACUGAAAGCUGAAUAGCUUUAAUGACGUGCUAUUUACUCUGGAAGUUCAAUUGCAAAAUUGAAAAUUUUUUCUAUAACAAGUUCUAGACUGUUAUUUUUUCACACAAAAAUUGAGUUCUAUAACAAGUUUAACACUGUUAUUUUUUUACGCAAAAAUUUAAUUCUAUAACAAGUUUAAUACUGUUAUUUUUUUACACAAAAAUGAAACAUUGACAAGCUUGAGCUCUUUAAGAAUCUGAUUUUUUACUUUUAAAGACUGCCAACUUCAUAGCAGUAAGGUUAAUACUCAUUUAGCUUUAACAACCAAAACAGAUGGAAUUAUAAUAAUCUAUUCAUGAACAUUAGUAUUUAUUCAGAAUUUAUUUCAAUAUAUGGCCCUGUUUUUGAAGAAAAAGUAUUACUAAACAUUUGUAUUUUUUAUAUAUAACAGAGAAAACUGAAGACUAAUUAAUUUUAUGAUUAAAGUAGAUAAAGCUCUCCGGAAUCACAGAUAAGUGAUACAAAGGAUGUAUUCAUGUUAAUGUUUGUUCAUAUUUCUUAACAUAUGUUGUAAUGUCAAUUAUAAUUGUUGGAACAU
Molecule: RNA transcript, 3313 nt
Organism: Diachasmimorpha longicaudata
Lineage: Eukaryota; Metazoa; Arthropoda; Insecta; Hymenoptera; Braconidae
Exons: 5
Source: RefSeq, a predicted model, not a curated record